UAAUGCUUUUUUCCAGCGAACGAAGAAACUUGAAUUUUACCGUUGGUAUCAACGAAACGAAGAUCUUCCGAUUUGGUGGGUAUCAUUUUAUUUCGUUUGUUUUAGUUUGUUGCGUUUGUAGUGUGUGGAAAGUUUGUAUGGAAUAGAGGGCCAACGCUUGUUGUGUGCUUUUUAUUUUCAAGUGUCUGAGUUCCUUUUUUCGUAGUUUCGUGAGCGGGCUUCUUGUUCCGUAGCUUCGUUUACAAGUUGCGUAACAAGUUGUAUUGGAUGCUUGAAAAUUCAAUGCCACGUGGUGUUGUCUCCUUACAUAGUCUGUGUGAACGAAUGAAUGAUUUGUUACAGCCAUUAGUUCGCCUUUCACGUGCCAACGCUGUGGUCGCUUGUACUCUGUUCAAUACACUCUUGAACGCCAUCUGAGAUACGAGUGUGGUGUAGCUAAGCAGUUCUAUUGUGGAGUUUGUUUGAGAAGAUUCUCCCGUAGGGAUAUACUCAGGAGCCACGAAAAAAAAUUUAAGCAUGGCGUGGCCUAACAAUAAGCUGACAAAAAAAAUAAGCUAGUCAUAAAAUGUAGAUAAAUGCAAUAAAAAAGUACAAUUAAGAGACUGACAAUAGUUUGCGGGUUCGAAAAGGUUGGUGAGAUGUGGUGUCUGCAGCAUUUCAUUUCUCCAAUCGUUUCGAAUUCGCCGGAGAAGGGUGAUGGGGCUUUUAACAAAAUUAUCGCUAUCAAUGUUACUACCUCUUCGUCUGGGACGUAGGAAGCUCUGCCGUUACUUUUGGAGUGGUUUGUCCUUCGUGCGGCCGAAGAUACAAGUACCGAUCUGGACUGCUUCGUCAUCUCCCGGACUGCUGUUGAACCCUAUUUCCUUCCCUUGCUCAUAAAUAAUGCAGUACUGCUUUCCCUUUCCAUUAGCUAGCUUGACGACUUGGAUCUGGACGCUUCAAUCUUACCAAAUACUAACCGUGGAUAGUCCCGAGGUCCCGGUCCAUCCAGUACUCCGAUACAUGCAAUAUUUUCAUCCAUACCUUUGUAGUUAGUUUUGAAUAAACGGUUUGAAAAGAG
Long non-coding RNA from Zophobas morio, 1060 nucleotides. RefSeq lists it as uncharacterized. Lineage: Eukaryota; Metazoa; Arthropoda; Insecta; Coleoptera; Tenebrionidae. The transcript has 2 exons. The record is from RefSeq and is a predicted model, not a curated record.